CGUCGUAGUGCUUAUUACACGCUGGUCAUAUUCGGCGAAUUUUCUCCCAAUACCGCAGGCUCGCAUUUUCAGCGGAAUUGCGGUGAAAAAUUGAAAGUUUUGCAUUUUGCACAGAACUGGCUACUUUCUGUAAGAUGUCCGCUGACAAUACAAGCCCGCACAAGUGGGAGUACUUUUGCUAAAUUGGACCAACGUGUUAUUCAUAACAUAUCUUAUACAGCUAUUUCAAUUAAAGUUGUGACUGGGACAAUAGUCAAAUGUACAAUAUGGGCGCUAAAACGAUGAUGGCAUUGGCAAUAAUCAUAGAUUUAAGUACUAUUUAAAAACGCGUAG
Molecule: non-coding RNA, 333 nt
Organism: Paramuricea clavata
Lineage: Eukaryota; Metazoa; Cnidaria; Anthozoa; Malacalcyonacea; Plexauridae
Source: the annotation of a GenBank genome assembly